CCUACGGGUGGCAGCAGUGAGGAAUAUUGGUCAAUGGACGAGAGUCUGAACCAGCCAAGUAGCGUGAAGGAUGACUGCCCUAUGGGUUGUAAACUUCUUUUAUAAAGGAAUAAAACGAGGCACGUGUGCCUUUUUGCAUGUACUUUAUGAAUAAGGAUCGGCUAACUCCGUGCCAGCAGCCGCGGGAAUACGGCGGAUCCGAGCGUUAUCCGGAUUUAUUGGGUUUAAAUGGAGCGUAGAUGGGUUGUUAAGUCAGUUGUGAAAGGUUGCGGCUCAACCGUAAAAUUGCAAUUGAUACUGGCAGUCUUGAGUACAGUUGAGGUAGGCGGAAUUCGUGGUGUAGCGGUGAAAUGCUUAGAUAUCACGAAGAACCCCGAUUGCGAAGGCAGCUUACUAAACUGUGACUGACAUUGAUGCUCGAAAGUGUGGGUAUCAAACAGGAUUAGAUACCCGAGUAGUC
This 460-nucleotide ribosomal RNA is filed under the name uncultured bacterium. RNAcentral's name for it is "partial 16S ribosomal RNA". It matches the Rfam family "Bacterial small subunit ribosomal RNA", at positions 338 to 795 of the family's 1533-position model. The record is from RNAcentral.